CACCUGUGCGCUUAAAGUUAAGCAUGACCGUGACUCAUUCAGCUGUCACUCUUACGGAUGUAGUGUGAGAACCAUAUGGAUGGGAAGAAGUAACCUAGACCCAAGAUGCAAGUUCAGGGAUUGCAAGACAGGAGGCCAAACACCGAAACAGCAUCUGACAAAAAUUUCUCCCAGGGGUGAACAGGCUGCAGGAGAAGUGGAAAUUGCCACUCCUAUUUUGCUAGGUUUAUUUUUGAGAAGACCUUAUAUAAAGACAUUGCCUUCAAGAAGAAACAUUGGAAUUUUAGGGCUAUUUGAAACCGGUGUAUAAGCAUAUGUUGUAUGUCAUGACUAUGCUGCCUAACAUGCAGUUGGAUGAAAAACACUUGAAGUAUCUUUGGACCGAACCCACAAUAAAGCUCUCCAAUACUUCAGUGGACGUAGUGCAUGUGAAGCUACUUCAGAAUGAAGCCCAUAAUCCUGGACCUCUUUUCAUGGGAGGCUGAAUAUAUGAAGGUACUUACAAAAAACAAAUCAGAAUGGAAGACUUGCAACAGUCCAUGGAGUUAUAUACUUUGCAGGGUUGCU
Molecule: long non-coding RNA, 567 nt
Organism: Cygnus olor (mute swan)
Lineage: Eukaryota; Metazoa; Chordata; Aves; Anseriformes; Anatidae
Exons: 3
Source: RefSeq, a predicted model, not a curated record